GAUGAAGAACGCAGCGAAAUGCGAUACGUAGUGUGAAUUGCAGAAUUCAGUGAAUCAUCGAAUCUUUGAACGCACAUUGCACCUCUCGGUAUUCCGGGAGGUAUGCCUGUUCGAGCGUCAUUUGUACCCUCAAGCUCUGCUUGGUGUUGGGUGUUUGUUCCGCCUCUGUGUGUGAACUCGCCUCAAAACAAUUGGCAGCCGGCGUACUUGUUUCGGAGCGCAGCACAUUUUGCGAUCCAGAUCAACGUACAGCGGCAUCCAAGAAGCCUUAUUUAACGCUCUUGACCUCGGAUCAGGUAGGGAUACCCGCUGAACUUAAGCAUAUCAAUAAGCGUAGGA
RNAcentral lists this unclassified non-coding RNA (339 nucleotides) under soil metagenome. Its description in RNAcentral is "partial contains 5.8S ribosomal RNA, internal transcribed spacer 2, and large subunit ribosomal RNA". The stretch from base 1 to 120 matches the Rfam family "5.8S ribosomal RNA", at positions 35 to 154 of the family's 154-position model. The record is from RNAcentral.